UGGGGAAUAUUGCACAAUGGAGGGAACUCUGAUGCAGCGACGCCGCGUGAGUGAUGAAGGAAUUCGUUUCGUAAAACUCUGUUCUAUGGGAAGAAAAGGACUGUACCAUAGGAGAAAGCUCCGGCUAAAUACGUGCCAGCAGCCGCGGUAAUACGUAUGGAGCGAGCGUUGUCCGGAAUUAUUGGGCGUAAAGGGUGCGCAGGCGGCUUUACAAGUUGGAUGUGAAAUAUUGUGGCUCAACCACAAACGUGCAUCCAAAACUGCAAAGCUUGAGUUAAGGAGAGGUAAGUGGAAUUACUGGUGUAGCGGUGGAAUGCGUAGAUAUCAGGAGGAAUACCGGUGGCGAAGGCGACUUACUGGACUUAAACUGACGCUCAGGCACGAAAGCGUGGGGAGCAAACAGG
This 404-nucleotide ribosomal RNA is filed under the name Fusobacteriota bacterium. RNAcentral's name for it is "Fusobacteria bacterium partial 16S ribosomal RNA". It matches the Rfam family "Bacterial small subunit ribosomal RNA", at positions 355 to 776 of the family's 1533-position model. The record is from RNAcentral. Lineage: Bacteria; Fusobacteriati; Fusobacteriota.